UUGAGUGAAAACAUUUGCUGUCAACAGCCAGUUCCACUGUACUAAGCCAGUCUAACAGAUGUGCACUCACCCAAAGACUUAUGCAGCUGCUACUGCUGCCGCUGUGUGUGUGUGUGUGUGUGUGUGUGUGUGUGUGCGUGCGUGCGUGCGUGCGUGUGUGUGUGUGUGUGUGUGUGUGUGUGUGUGUCUGUUUACGCACAGUUCAGCAGGGUUUAUGGGUAUGAGAGCAUGUGCGCUUUCAUAACUUAAAAAAAAAAUCACCAUAAAUAAACACCCCCCCCCUCCACAAAUCUGUUCUCAUUAGAUUUGAUGUUGAUUGCAUUACGCAUAUGAACACAUUCUUGGCCAUUGUCCGCAUCCCCUGGGCCGAGUGGAGCCUCGCGUUGGACCGUGCCGGGCCUGGCCUCCGGAACCCUCUUUGCCCUGGGAGAUGGAUUCAAGGGGCCGGGGGGGCAUCGUGCAGCCCGGUUUAGCCUCUCAUUCUGGUUCAGGGCACCUGGGUGGAUGCCCCACCCCCCUCCCCCGGGGCCGGGGGGACGAGCCAGGCUCCACCGCCGGCUGUUUGUUUCACCAGCAUCCCAAAAGACGAGAGCUACUUCAACACUUGCCAAGAUGACAACGGUUGCCCAAAUGUUCCAUUUGAUGUUUCGAGCCUCAAGAGCAAGUGGGAGAGAACGAGUGAUACAGGGGGGAGAGAAACCCAGGGAAACGGAGAGGGAAUAAACGGCAAUGAGAGAGCGGGAGGGGAGGGGAGGGGAGGGGGGAGAGGGGAGAGGAGACUGAAAGCAAAUGAGAAUGAGAGGAGUGGAAAAGAACAUUAGCUGGAGAGGUUGCCAAGUUCAAGAUCUGCCAGCCUGAGGUGUGUGCAGUCCCGGGUGUUGUAGUGAGGGAGAGAGGGAGGAGGGGUGAGGCAGUGGGUGUCAGGUAUGUCUCUCCUUCCAUCCCAGCGCUCCAUCGCGCGCCUUUCUGCUCCAGCUGCUGCUCGCCCGGAUAACAAAUCAUUCCCUACAGCGCCUUCUGGUAACCUCGUCAUUCCCCGCUAAUAACAUUUGGAGAUGCUAAGCUUGUAAAUUAGCGAAUCUGGACCGAGGAGAUAUUAUUUAUGCUUGUCUCCCAUCCUGAAAGACUUGUCUUGAUGGGUAAAUUGUGUUUAAUUCUUGGAGGAAGACGUUUUUUUUCUGUGCCCCAGCAUGAGAUGAGAUUAAUCCCUUGACAACCUUUGCGGGCGCACUUCAAAAUUGCUCCCAAAUGUCACCGAUGCCGCCGCCGCCGAGAUUUGCAAAGAGGGUGGAAACAGGGAGAGAAACAAGCACCGUGCAGAAAUGGGGACACAUCCGAUGCGCGUGACCCCCCCCCCCCCCCCCCCCCCCCCCCAAACACACUCACUCACACACUUCUUACACAAGUGUGUUUUAUUCCCCUUCUUAGCAUUCAGGAAAAAAAUGGAAAAUAAACAUAAGACACACACAUAAACUCGAGGCA
This 1482-nucleotide long non-coding RNA is filed under the name Betta splendens (Siamese fighting fish). RNAcentral's name for it is "lncRNA (ENSBSLG00000011373.1)". The record is from RNAcentral. Lineage: Eukaryota; Metazoa; Chordata; Actinopteri; Anabantiformes; Osphronemidae.